Molecule: unclassified non-coding RNA, 148 nt
Organism: Pongo abelii (Sumatran orangutan)
Lineage: Eukaryota; Metazoa; Chordata; Mammalia; Primates; Hominidae
Rfam family: Metazoan signal recognition particle RNA
About the family: The signal recognition particle (SRP) is a universally conserved ribonucleoprotein. It is involved in the co-translational targeting of proteins to membranes.
Source: Ensembl
GCCGGGCGUGGUGGCGCAUGCCUGUAGUCCCAACUACUUGGGAGGCUGGGGCAGAAGAAUUGCUUGAACCCAGGAGGUGGAGGUUGCAGUGAGCCGAGAUUGCACCACUACACUCCAGCCUGGGUGACAGAGCGAGACUCUGUCUCAA